This 460-nucleotide ribosomal RNA is filed under the name uncultured bacterium. RNAcentral's name for it is "partial 16S ribosomal RNA". It matches the Rfam family "Bacterial small subunit ribosomal RNA", at positions 338 to 795 of the family's 1533-position model. The record is from RNAcentral.
CCUACGGGAGGCAGCAGUGAGGAAUAUUGGUCAAUGGACGAGAGUCUGAACCAGCCAAGUAGCGUGAAGGAUGACUGCCCUAUGGGUUGUAAACUUCUUUUAUAAAGGAAUAAAACGAGGCACGUGUGCCUUUUUGCAUGUACUUUAUGAAUAAGGAUCGGCUAACUCCGUGCCAGCAGCCGCGGUAAUACGGAGGAUCCGAGCUUUAUCCGGAUUUAUUGGGUUUAAGGGGAGCGUAGAUGGGUUGUUAAGUCAGUUGUGAAAGUUUGCGGCUCAACCGGAAAAUUGCAAUUGAUACUGGCAGUCUUGAGUACAGUUGAGGUAGGCGGAAUGCGUGGUGUAGCGGUGAAAUGCUUAGAUAUCACGAAGAACCCCGAUUGCGAAGGCAGCUUACGAAACUGUGACUGACAUUGAUGCUCGAAAGUGUGGGUAUCAAACAGGAUUAGAUACCCGAGUAGUC